Molecule: ribosomal RNA, 549 nt
Filed under: uncultured bacterium
Lineage: Bacteria
Description: bacterial SSU rRNA
Rfam family: Bacterial small subunit ribosomal RNA
Source: RNAcentral
GAGGAACACCAAUGGCGAAGGCAGGUCUCUGGGCCAUUACUGACACUGAGGAGCGAAAGCGUGGGGAGCGAACAGGAUUAGAUACCCUGGUAGUCCACGCCGUAAACGGUGGGCACUAGUUGUGGGAACCUUCCACGGUUUCUGCGACGCAGCUAACGCAUUAAGUGCCCCGCCUGGGGAGUACGAUCGCAAGAUUAAAACUCAAAGGAAUUGACGGGGCCCCGCACAAGCAGCGGAGCAUGCGGCUUAAUUCGACGCAACGCGAAGAACCUUACCAAGGCUUGACAUAUACAGGAAUAUGGCAGAAAUUCCAUAGCCGCAAGGUCUGUAUACAGGUGGUGCAUGGUUGUCGUCAGCUCGUGUCGUGAGAUGUUGGGUUAAGUCCCGCAACGAGCGCAACCCUCGUUCUGUGUUGCCAGCAUUUAGUUGGGGACUCACAGGAGACUGCCGGGGUUAACUCGGAGGAAGGUGGGGAUGACGUCAAAUCAUCAUGCCCCUUAUGUCUUGGGCUGCACGCAUGCUACAAUGGCUGGUACAAACGGCUGCGAU